GAGCGGCGAACGGGUGAGUAACACGUGGGUGAUCUGCCCUGCACUUCGGGAUAAGCCUGGGAAACUGGGUCUAAUACCGGAUAUGACCAAAGGCUGCAUGGCUUUUGGUGGAAAGGUUUACUGGUGCAGGAUGGGCCCGCGGCCUAUCAGCUUGUUGGUGGGGUAAUGGCCUACCAAGGCGACGACGGGUAGCCGACCUGAGAGGGUGACCGGCCACACUGGGACUGAGACACGGCCCAGACUCCUACGGGAGGCAGCAGUGGGGAAUAUUGCACAAUGGGCGAAAGCCUGAUGCAGCGACGCCGCGUGAGGGAUGAAGGCCUUCGGGUUGUAAACCUCUUUCAGCAGGGACGAAGCGAAAGUGACGGUACCUGCAGAAGAAGCACCGGCUAACUACGUGCCAGCAGCCGCGGUAAUACGUAGGGUGCGAGCGUUGUCCGGAAUUACUGGGCGUAAAGAGUUCGUAGGCGGUUUGUCACGUCGUCUGUGAAAACCCACCGCUCAACGGUGGGCCUGCAGGCGAUACGGGCAGACUUGAGUACUGCAGGGGAGACUGGAAUUCCUGGUGUAGCGGUGAAAUGCGCAGAUAUCAGGAGGAACACCGGUGGCGAAGGCGGGUCUCUGGGCAGUAACUGACGCUGAGGAACGAAAGCGUGGGUAGCAAACAGGAUUAGAU
Molecule: ribosomal RNA, 676 nt
Filed under: uncultured bacterium
Lineage: Bacteria
Description: bacterial SSU rRNA
Rfam family: Bacterial small subunit ribosomal RNA
Source: RNAcentral